UACGUAGGUGACAAAUGUUAUCCGGAAUCACUGGGCGUAAAGGGUCUGUAGGCGGUUACUUAGGUCUGAUGUGACAACUCUCGGCUUAACUGAGAGAGCGCAUUGGAAACCGGGUGACUAGAAUCACGUCGAGGUCGGUGGAAUUCCCGGUGUAGUGGUGGAAUGCGUAGAGAUCGGGAGGAACCUCGAAAGCGAAGGCAGCCGGCUAGACGAUGAUUGACGCUGAGGGACGAUAGCGUGGGUAGCAAACAGG
This 253-nucleotide ribosomal RNA is filed under the name uncultured bacterium. Its description in RNAcentral is "partial 16S ribosomal RNA". It matches the Rfam family "Bacterial small subunit ribosomal RNA", at positions 524 to 776 of the family's 1533-position model. The record is from RNAcentral.